GUUUUUAUCAACUAAUUCAUCAGGUGACUCUCAUAUUUUGUUAUACAUUAGAUAUAAGUAACUUUUCAACAAUGGACAACUGCGUGAGGCCUUUUAAUUUCAAUUUUUACUUGAGUAUAGAUCAAUUUGCUGAAUCUUGGUUCCAAAUUGGGAAGAUUUGUGGUCUGCUAUUAAUUUCCAGAAUAAUUAUUUGGGCCAUUACAUUCCAAGUAUUUAGGGCUUUGGCUUUUAUUGCUCCUGCACUCAACCACUGUCACUUUAAGUUUACUUUCCUAUUACAGGGGUACAAAAUUUUAGGAUUAAGGUCUAUGAAUGCAUUCUGCUCUCUAACUUCAUGAACUUAUGCUUUGAAACAAGAUUUUCCCAUAAAUAUUAUUCAAUUGACAAUGUGCUGUGUUUUGAUAAAACUGACGCUGCCCAUUAGAAUUGAUACAUCAUGCUUUUAUGGCCUCAAACAUUUUUCUCAUCACACAUUUUGUUUUGGUAAAAUUGAAAAUCUCUAUGCUCAUGAUGUGUUAUGCUGACUUGAAUGGCUUCUUAUAUGAAGCAACAUGGGGUUUUUCUUCUGCCUCGUGAAGAUCUAAGAUUUUAUUCAAUUGUCAAUGCAUUGCAAGAUGCAUUAAUGCUAUUUAUUCUUCUUGAAUAUUUAGGGACGUGUAAUUCCUUGUGAUU
RNAcentral lists this unclassified non-coding RNA (672 nucleotides) under Hevea brasiliensis (rubber tree). Lineage: Eukaryota; Viridiplantae; Streptophyta; Magnoliopsida; Malpighiales; Euphorbiaceae. The record is from RNAcentral.